GAUGAACGCUGGCGGCGUGCCUAAUACAUGCAAGUCGAGCGAACUGAUUAGAAGCUUGCUUCUAUGACGUUAGCGGCGGACGGGUGAGUAACACGUGGGCAACCUGCCUGUAAGACUGGGAUAACUUCGGGAAACCGAAGCUAAUACCGGAUAGGAUCUUCUCCUUCAUGGGAGAUGAUUGAAAGAUGGUUUCGGCUAUCACUUACAGAUGGGCCCGCGGUGCAUCAGCUAGUUGGUGAGGUAACGGCUCACCAAGGCAACGAUGCAUAGCCGACCUGGGAGGGUGAUCGGCCACACUGGGACUGAGACACGGCCCAGACUCCUACGGGAGGCAGCAGUAGGGAAUCUUCCGCAAUGGACGAAAGUCUGACGGAGCAACGCCGCGUGAGUGAUGAAGGCUUUCGGGUCGUAAAACUCUGUUGUUAGGGAAGAACAAGUACAAGAGUAACUGCUUGUACCUUGACGGUACCUAACCAGAAAGCCACGGCUAACUACGUGCCAGCAGCCGCAGUAA
Molecule: ribosomal RNA, 514 nt
Filed under: uncultured bacterium
Lineage: Bacteria
Description: partial 16S ribosomal RNA
Rfam family: Bacterial small subunit ribosomal RNA
Source: RNAcentral